This 1002-nucleotide long non-coding RNA is filed under the name Anas platyrhynchos platyrhynchos (common mallard). Its description in RNAcentral is "lncRNA (ENSAPLG00000027923.1)". The record is from RNAcentral. Lineage: Eukaryota; Metazoa; Chordata; Aves; Anseriformes; Anatidae.
AUGAUAUUUUGGACACCCCAUCUUUGCCCUCUGCUCCUGCCCUCCUGCAAGGGUGCCAGCCGCCAGGGGCUGCGCCCCGCGGUGCCGUGCCGUGGGGCUGCUCCAAAACCCUGCCAGGCUCCAGGGAAGGGCUCGUCUGGGGUCAGCGCAAUCGAUAUCUCAUCUGCAGGCUCUCCUAGCGGAAGUGAUGGUAUAUUGGAACAUGGUAAUGGCUCUUGUCUAGUGGAAAAGGCUAAUCUUCCCCAGCUGUACAGGAUCUCCGCAGGUGUCCUCGGCUCUCCCGGCUGCCACCAGCCCCGCAGCAAGCCAAGGAGCAGGCACAGCUCUUUAAAGCCGCAGCAGUCCAAUUUAGGGCCGGUCACGGCCAGGGGCAGCUGCCCUGAGCCUGGCAGAGCCCCACGAGAGGUGGCCAAGGGCUCCUCGGAGAGGGACCCGCAGCCAGGGUGGCAGCACCGCCCUUGGGUGCAUGGCACGGGUGGCCAGGGCGGUGCAGGUUUGCUUGGUCAAGGUGCACAAGGUGCCAUCUCCUCUGGUCCCCCUGCCCAGGGAUGUCAUUUCCCCGGGGAGGAGGCUGUGGGGACGAUGCCAGGAGGGACGUGGUCCCCUCUAAGUGCCACCUGCAAGCGGAGGUGGGAGGCGAGCGUGCGCCGCAGGGAAAAGCAGGGGCGAGAGAGCUCCUUGGUGAUAAUUUGGCUUUUUUGGCAACGCUCUUGCUCCCUGCCAGGGCUCACCCCACGGGGAUUUGCUCAUCCCUGGGGACUGCUAGCAGCUGCGUGCGUGGGCAGCUCGCUCCAGUGGGACCCCGUGGGGCUGGGGGGAUGCAGGAGGGGGAAGGCAGGGAUGGAGAGGCUGGAGCCAGCCCGGGGCAGGUUUUUUUCUCCAGGGCAAUCUUUGCCCGUCCCCGUGCAGACCUGGAUUUUAAAAGCUGGCCAGCCAAUGCCGGCUGUUGCAGCCUGCUGCAUCACUAUGGCAAAAUCAAUUUUCCCCUUUCUCUGGAGGUAG